GCCGGCGACCGGCGCACGGGUGAAGUAACGCGUAUCCAACCUUCCGUACACUCAGGGAUAGCCUUUUCGAAAGAAAGAUUAAUACCUGAUGGUAUGAUGAGAUUGCAGUGAUAGCAUCAUUAAAGAUUUAUCGGUGUACGAUGGGGAUGCGUUCCAUUAGGUAGUAGGCGGGGUAACGGCCCACCUAGCCGACGAUGGAUAGGGGUUCUGAGAGGAAGGUCCCCCACAUUGGAACUGAGACACGGUCCAAACUCCUACGGGAGGCAGCAGUGAGGAAUAUUGGUCAAUGGACGAGAGUCUGAACCAGCCAAGUAGCGUGAAGGAUGAAGGUCCUACGGAUUGUAAACUUCUUUUAUAAGGGAAUAAACCCUCCCACGUGUGGGAGCUUGUAUGUACCUUAUGAAUAAGCAUCGGCUAACUCCGUG
Molecule: ribosomal RNA, 425 nt
Filed under: uncultured bacterium
Lineage: Bacteria
Description: bacterial SSU rRNA
Rfam family: Bacterial small subunit ribosomal RNA
Source: RNAcentral